AAACCAGCACCUCAAGUUGUCAGGAGGAUUAUUGGGCCUAAAGCAUCCGUAGCCUGCUCUGUAAGUUUCCGGUUAAAUCCAUUUGCUCAACAAAUGGGCUGCCGGAAAAACUGCAAAGCUAGGGAGUGGGAGAGGUAGACGGUACUCGGUAGGAAGGGGUAAAAUCCUUUGAUCUAUUGAUGACCACCUGUGGCGAAGGCGGUCUACCAGAACACGUUCGACGGUGAGGGAUGAAAGCUGGGGGAGCAAACCGGAUUAGAAACCCGGGUAGUCC
RNAcentral lists this ribosomal RNA (274 nucleotides) under uncultured bacterium. RNAcentral's name for it is "partial 16S ribosomal RNA". It matches the Rfam family "Archaeal small subunit ribosomal RNA", at positions 473 to 747 of the family's 1478-position model. The record is from RNAcentral.